This 554-nucleotide ribosomal RNA is filed under the name uncultured fungus. RNAcentral's name for it is "eukaryotic LSU rRNA". The stretch from base 196 to 349 matches the Rfam family "5.8S ribosomal RNA". The record is from RNAcentral. Lineage: Eukaryota; Fungi.
AAGUCGUAACAAGGUCUCCGUUGGUGAACCAGCGGAGGGAUCAUUACCGAGUUUACAACUCCCAAACCCCUGUGAACAUACCUUACUGUUGCCUCGGCGGAUCAGCCCGCUCCCGGUAAAACGGGACGGCCCGCCAGAGGACCCCUAAACUCUGUUUCUAUAUGUAACUUCUGAGUAAAACCAUAAAUAAAUCAAAACUUUCAACAACGGAUCUCUUGGUUCUGGCAUCGAUGAAGAACGCAGCAAAAUGCGAUAAGUAAUGUGAAUUGCAGAAUUCAGUGAAUCAUCGAAUCUUUGAACGCACAUUGCGCCCGCCAGUAUUCUGGCGGGCAUGCCUGUUCGAGCGUCAUUUCAACCCUCAAGCCCUCGGGUUUGGUGUUGGGGAUCGGCGAGCCUUUCUGGCAAGCCGGCCCCGAAAUCUAGUGGCGGUCUCGCUGCAGCCUCCAUUGCGUAGUAGUAAAACCCUCGCAACUGGAACGCGGCGCGGCCAAGCCGUUAAACCCCCAACUUCUGAAUGUUGACCUCGGAUCAGGUAGGAAUACCCGCUGAACUUA